This is a non-coding RNA of Collybiopsis luxurians FD-317 M1, 86 nucleotides long. The record is from the annotation of a GenBank genome assembly. NCBI's taxonomy places the organism in Eukaryota, Fungi, Basidiomycota, Agaricomycetes, Agaricales, Omphalotaceae.
GGGCACAUGGUGUAGUUGGUUAUCACAUCCGCUUAGCACGAUGUGUGAGAUGCGGGGGGUGCUGGGUUCAAUUCCCAGUGUGUCCA